Molecule: non-coding RNA, 72 nt
Filed under: Tripos fusus
Lineage: Eukaryota; Dinophyceae; Gonyaulacales; Ceratiaceae
Source: RNAcentral
AGACUGCCACCAUUACGAGGCCGACCGCCAUUGCCAGUCUCUCCACCACUGCCACCAUGAGUGCCAUUCAGG